CUCAGCGAAAUUGAAUUCUCCGUGAAGAUGCGGAGUUCCCGCGGUCAGACGGAAAGACCCCGUGCACCUUUACUAUAGUUAUGUAUUGUAGCAAAUAUUUUUAUGUAUAGUAUAUGUGGGAAAUUUUUAUUAAUUCUUUGCGCAAGUAAAUAAAAAAAAUAUAAAUGAAAUACCACUCUUAAAAUUUUUUGUUACUAAUUAAACAGACAUUGCAUAAUGGGUAGUUUGACUGGGGCGGUCGCCUCCUAAAUAGUAACGGAGGCGUACAAUGGUAAGUUCAAAUUGAAAAACAAUUGUAGAGCAUAAUAGUAUAUUACUUGCUUGACUGUAAGAUUGACAAAUCAAGCAGGGACGAAAGUCGGUUAUAGUGAUCCGGUGAUUCUGUGUGGAAAAGGUCACCGCUCAACGGAUAAAAGGUACGCCGGGGAUAACAGGCUGAUGAUGCCCAAGAGUCCAUAUCGACGGCAUUGUUUGGCACCUCGAUGUCGGCUCAUCGCAUCCUGGG
This 505-nucleotide ribosomal RNA is filed under the name Helicotheca tamesis. Its description in RNAcentral is "partial Bacterial large subunit ribosomal RNA". It matches the Rfam family "Bacterial large subunit ribosomal RNA", at positions 2032 to 2551 of the family's 2925-position model. The record is from RNAcentral. Lineage: Eukaryota; Bacillariophyta; Thalassiosirophyceae; Lithodesmiales; Lithodesmiaceae.